GGCUGGAUCACCUCCUAACAGGGAGACAAAACCUGAUCGUGAUGUCUGAGUAUUUUUAUUCUUAGACCAUGAUCCUGUCAUCUCGAAGGUCGAUCGGUACCUCAACUUGAGUGUAAGAGAAGAGCUGAGCAAUCAGUUUGGAGACUUGCCAUUCAAUUUCAGUUCCUAAACUUUGUCUAGGUCACCCCACAGGGCCGUCAAAUGUGUAUUUGACGUUACUGAGCGGUAGCAACUCCUGGGCCAUUAGCUCAGGUGGUUAGAGCGCACCCCUGAUAAGGGUGAGGUCCCUGGUUCAAGUCCAGGAUGGCCCAUUCGUGUUUGGGGGUUUAGCUCAGUUGGUAGAGCGCCUGCUUUGCAAGCAGGAUGUCAGCGGUUCGAGUCCGCUAACCUCCAUCCAAUGAUGAUGCUCUGCCCUCAGGCCAUGCAUACUUGUUUGAGUAUGUGAGGUAAGGAGAUCUGCUGUUGUGUUGAUCUAGAUCGUUGUUCGCUGAAGAUUUCAGCUUCUUUUCAUUCUUAUCUUAUUCAAGAGUAAGUUGAAAAGACGCUGGAUUCAACGCUGCCCUGGAGACAGGGCUGUUUGAAUGUCAGCAGAACCUUGACAACUGCAUAGUUGAAGUCUGGAAAUAAAGCAUCUCAUGGAUGCUUGAUUCUAGCUUGAGUCAAAUCCAGUAGUGGAUGCAAUUCAGGAUAUAGAUCAAGAAAAUUCUAUUGAGUUUUUAGAGCCGAGAGCUUCCAGUUUUCUUCUUUAUCCGCCGAGGAUAGAGGAGUUUGAUCCUGGCAUUCAAACUGCAGCCAAGAGUCUGAGCAAUCAGAUUUAAGAUUGUAG
This 826-nucleotide transfer RNA is filed under the name uncultured Synechococcus sp. RNAcentral's name for it is "partial 16S-23S ribosomal RNA intergenic spacer". The stretch from base 321 to 393 matches the Rfam family "tRNA". The record is from RNAcentral. Lineage: Bacteria; Bacillati; Cyanobacteriota; Cyanophyceae; Synechococcales; Synechococcaceae.